Non-coding RNA from Pogona vitticeps (central bearded dragon), 245 nucleotides. The record is from RefSeq and is a predicted model, not a curated record. NCBI's taxonomy places the organism in Eukaryota, Metazoa, Chordata, Lepidosauria, Squamata, Agamidae.
CAAGAGGACACUGAGUGUUGACUCCCUGGGACUAUUGCUGGGGUUCACUUGGAAAUCAAGAAGGUCUAUGGACAAUCUUCAAGAAAUUGGAUAUCCUGGGAAAUGCACAAAUAUCAGUCAAGAAUUCCAAUUCUCGAAGGAUGUGUGGCAUCGUUCAUAUGCUGAGGCCAACAACAAUGGCAACUCCAGGGUGUUUGAAGUACUACAGGUAUAUUGCCUGCCGUGAGCACCGUUAAUCACAGGCG